Molecule: long non-coding RNA, 1301 nt
Filed under: Lathyrus oleraceus (garden pea)
Lineage: Eukaryota; Viridiplantae; Streptophyta; Magnoliopsida; Fabales; Fabaceae
Description: Pisum sativum (pea) long non-coding RNA (PSAT_LNC039100)
Source: RNAcentral
CAAGUACAACUCACCACCACCACCGGUUUACAAGUACAAGUCCUCUCCUCCCCCAGUUCAUCACCCCUCACCAAUUUACAAGUACAACUCACCACCUCCACCAGUUUACAAGUACAAGUCGCCUCCUCCCCCAGUCCAUUACCCCUCACCGGUUUACAAGUCCAACUCACCACCUCCACCAGUUUACAAGUACAAGUCGCCUCCUCCCCCAGUCCAUUACCCCUCACCGGUUUACAAGUACAACUCACCACCUCCACCAGUUUACAAGUACAACUCACCUCCACCUCCCUCACCAGUUUACAAAUACAACUCACCGCCUCCACCGGUCCAUCAUGACUCAACCCCAUAUUACUAUAAGUCACCUCCACCUCCUUCACCGGUUUACAAAUACAACUCACCACCUCCACCGGUUCAUCAUGAUUCUCCCCCAUAUUACUACAAGUCACCCCCACCUCCCUCACCGGUUUACAAAUACAACUCACCACCUCCACCGGUUUAUCGUGAUUCUCCCCCAUAUUACUACAAGUCACCUCCACCUCCCUCACCGGUUUACAAGUACAACUCACCACCUCCACCGGUUCAUCGUGAUUCUCCCCCAUAUUACUACAAGUCACCUCCACCCCCCUCACCGGUUUACAAGUACAACUCACCACCUCCACUAGUCCAUUAUUAUUCUCCUCCAUACUACUACAAGUCACCUCCUCCUCCAGUCAAAUCGCCACCACCUCCAUAUUAUUACAAGUCCCCACCUCCACCUUCACCCUCUCCUCCUCCUCCAUACUAUUAUAAAUCUCCUCCACCACCUUCACCAUCCCCUCCACCACCUUAUUAUUACAAAUCUCCUCCUCCACCCAAAGCAAUAUCACACCCUCCAUACUACUACAAGUCACCACCCCCACCAUCACCAUCACCUCCUCCACCAUACUAUUAUAAGUCCCCACCACCACCAUCACCAUCUCCGCCACCACCUUACUAUUAUAAAUCACCUCCUCCACCUAAAGAGAUUUCAAACCCACCAUACUACUAUAAGUCACCACCUCCACCGUCACCAUCCCCUCCACCACCUUACUAUUACAAAUCUCCACCACCACCAUCACCAUCACCACCACCUCCCUACUAUUACAAAUCUCCACCACCUCCAUCACCAUCUCCACCCCCUCCCUAUUAUUACAAAUCACCUCCACCACCCUCACCAUCACCGCCACCUCCUUACUAUUACAAAUCUCCCCCACCUCCAUCUCCAUCUCCACCACCUCCUUAUCACUAUCAAAGUCCUCCUCCGCCAUCUCCCGUUUCUCAUC